UAGGGAAUAUUGCACAAUGGGCGCAAGCCUGAUGCAGCAACGCCGCGUGAGGGAUGACGGCCUUCGGGUUGUAAACCUCUUUUAGCAGGGAAGAAGCGAAAGUGACGGUACCUGCAGAAAAAGCACCGGCUAACUACGUGCCAGCAGCCGCGGUAAUACGUAGGGUGCAAGCGUUGUCCGGAAAUUAUUGGGCGUAAAGAGCUCGUAGGCGGUCUGUCGCGUCUGCUGUGAAAUCCCGAGGCUCAACCUCGGGCCUGCAGUGGGUACGGGCAGACUAGAGUGCGGUAGGGGAGAAUGGAACUCCUGGUGUAGCGGUGGAAUGCGCAGAUAUCAGGAAGAACACCGAUGGCGAAGGCAGUUCUCUGGGCCGUAACUGACGCUGAGGAGCGAAAGCGUGGGGAGCGAACAGGAUUAGAUACCCUGGUAGUCCACGCCGUAAACGUUGGGCGCUAGAUGUGGGGACCAUUCCACGGUUUCCGUGUCGCAGCUAACGCAUUAAGCGCCCCGCCUGGGGAGUACGGCCGCAAGGCUAAAACU
RNAcentral lists this ribosomal RNA (537 nucleotides) under uncultured bacterium. RNAcentral describes it as "partial 16S ribosomal RNA". It matches the Rfam family "Bacterial small subunit ribosomal RNA", at positions 355 to 901 of the family's 1533-position model. The record is from RNAcentral.